AGGAGAGGAGAAAGAGAAUCUUUAGCAGGUUCAAGCUGCAGCAUGAAGCCUGCUGCGGGGCCCCAUCUCAUGACCUUGAGAUCACCACCUGAGCUGAAAUCAAGAGACCAAUGCUUAGCCAACUGAGCUACCCAGGCACCCCCAAACUUUUAACACCUUAGCAAUCUGAUAAACAACAAAAAAAGAGAUGCUUUGUUUAAAUUUCUCACAUUUGGAUUUAUUGUAAUAUAAAAUAUAAAAAUAUUAUGUAUUGAAUCACUAAUGACAAACCACUAAAUACGAAACAAGUAAAUAAAGCAGUACUGAAAAGGAAUUUAGUUUAGAACUUUCUUUUUUCUUUUAAGAUUUGUUUAUCUGAGAGAGAGAGAGAGAGAGAGAGAGAGAAUGUGCACAAGUCAGGGGAGGGGCAGAGGGAGAGGGAAAGAAUAUUCAAGCAGACUCUGUGCUGAGCAUGGAGCCCUUUGUGUGGAGGGGGGCUGAAUCUCACAACCCUGAGAUCAUGACUUGAGCCAAAACCAAGAGUUCAAAGUUUAACCAACUGAGCCAAGUUUUGGCUCAAGUCAUGAUCUUGACCUUGGUUUGUUUCCUAGUGUUUUUUUUUCUAGUUGAAAAAAAAUACGUGAGUAGGAGAAAAUAAGAUCCAAGUAGAACAAGAAGACCUAAUGAAAAGUGAGCUUAUCCCAUGGUCCAGACAGACCUCCAGUCUUGAUAUGCCUGCUAAUAAUUUCUGGUGUAUCCUUCCAGUAAAUUUCUAUGCAUACAACAUAUCAAUUUUUUCAUAAAUGGAAGCAUAUUCUGUACACUACUGGUGCCUUGAUUUUUUUCAGCUAACAUAUUGUAUGGAUUAUUCUAAAUCUUCAUAUAUGGGUGGACCUCAUUUUUCUUAACAACUGUACAGUAUCCUAUGGUGGCCAUGCCACAAUCUAUUUCACCUGUGCUCUGCUGAAGAGGACUGAGGUUGAAUCCAUGGUUUGGGUAUGAUAUAUCCACACAGCCCUUUACAGUACAUGUGCGAAAUCUACUCCUGAAAUGGAAUGGCUGUGUCAUAGGAUUUUUGCAUUUUUAAUUUGGCUAGAUAUUCCAAAAUCGCUUUCCAAAAAAGUUGUACCAUUUCACACUCCCACCAACAGUAUAUGGAGAGGCUUUUCUUUAUUCUAUCAAAAGAAGCUCUUUAAAGAUUAGCAAUCCCACAUGUACUACACAAAAUAAAACUGUCCCAAGGAGGAAAUAGAUUUGUAAACAAAAGACCCAAAUUACAUAAAUUAGAAAUCCUCAAAGUAGUCAAAUAAGGUCCAUUGAUAUGAAUCUUUCUUUGUGAUGACUUUGUAGGUCUCCAUUUACUCUAAGAUCUUUGUGAACCACACCACCUCUGGCAAUUUUACCCAUAAAUUACCAUCUACGAAGGAGGUGACGGUUUCAACACCACUUAAGUGCUAAUACUGAAACAACUUUCUAGCACAUUCUCCCAUUCUGAAGCUUGAGUUUAUUCCCUUUCCCAAGUUAUUACCAGGAUAAUUUUCCAUUGCCCCCAAAUAACCUCUGUCCUGAGCCACCAUCUACACAAAGAGAAAGUGACCACAUGCACUGCCUUUCAUUAUAAUGCUGCCUUCAGGUUAUAUAGAACUUCUCCACCAAAACUCUUAACAUGUUUGUAUAUGUUAUUUCAUGUACCUCCACAACUUCUGACUGAGGUUGGGAAGGUGUGGUUGAAAUCUGUGGAGAUACAUGCAGAAGUUAUUUUGGCAUCUUCUACAGCAGCCACAAAAACAAGAUCCUGUGUCAAGGUCCCAGGAUUAACAAGGUGGAUCCAAGGAAACUAGGUAACAGGACUUAAAUUCAGUAAGUGACAUUGCUUAUUUUAGUCUCUUCUGGGUUUCCUCAGAAUCUGUCAGUGACCUUUAAAAUGCAGGUCAGGACACUAAGAUGCCAGACCCUCUUCCAGCGUGAGUCGUUAGCAGGUGAUCCCAUGCUCUGAUCUGGCCACCUUAAAUUUAGACACUGAGAGGAUGGGUUCCCAUGCUCAAAUAUGGCCAUUUUAACCCUGCCUCCAGGUGAUCUGGUACAUGAUUCCAGUGUGUUAAAGUAGGCUUUCCUAAGCAUUUUCCGAGGCAAAUUUACAUUAGGAUUCUUUAGCGGUCAUAAAGGUCUAUUCAAGUAGGGCAGCAGUUUGGCUGAGAAACACUACAGUUCUGAAAGGGACUACGUAACUCCUAGAGGGCCUUGUUUAUUCAGGGGAGUGACAUAUACUGAGAUACUUGAUACUGGGUUCCAGGCAGUGACAAGAAGGUACCUGUUGCUGUUCUAAGCUCUCCAGUCCAGACACUGUCUCCAGUGCAGACAUCAUUUGUCUUGUGCAAGGCCUCCACUAGCCUACCUGGAUGUCCUAGGGCUGAGCCUAACCAGAGCUGAGCCCAACUCAGAGUCCACUGUUGCCCCUGAGGCCACCAUUCCCAAGUGCAACCAACCCUGUGGCCUUGGAGCCCCAUUGAGUAGAUUCUGAAGUUUUUGUACUGCUCAAGGCUCCCCAGCCCGAAACAGCAUGACAUCUUCAAUACCAAUCAAGGUAGAGCUAGAACAUCCCCAGGCCUCCAGAAGAAGGUUGAGGGUAGGAAAAGGAAGGAGGAGGAAAGUUAACCUCUAUUCCGUGCCUUAAGCAAUGUGUAACAUCCUUGGUGACAGGUACUAGUGUAGCCAUUCUGCAAAAGGAGAACUUGAGGAACAGAGAGGUUAAAUAAUUUACCCAGAGUCACAAAGCACUUUAAUGUCUAUGUAGACAUCUUUUGAUUUGGCCUGCUUUGGAUUCCUUCCCCCUUCUUAAGUAACAGUACCAUCACUUCCAGGUUGAAAUGGGACACCCCUACCACCAGCACCAUCCCACUCAGGGGUAUAUAUGUGACUUAGAAUUGGCUAAUCAGCAACCUCUCCAAGACCUUUGUUGUACCCCUUGAAAAGAAACUCUAUCCUUCCUCUACCCAUCCUUAGUACUAAGGAUCUAUGAGUCUAGAGCUACUGAGAAAGACUUCUUAGAGUGAGGCCAACAGAGAAAUAGAGUGGAAAGAGAUUUCCAAUAACAUCUUUUGGGUGCCUGGAUAUUGCUGUGCCUGAAAGCAAAACAACUCCCUGGAUUUUUCAGUUACAUGAGCCAACAUAGCCUUUACUUAUGCUAUUUUGAUGAAUGUAGUAAGCUUGAACUUGAAUCCAGGAUUGUUGGACUCUAAAGCUAAUGAUUUUUACAUGAAACAGAACACCUUCCCCACAUACAGUCCUCACUGAGCUGGCAUUUCCUAAGGCCAUAUUCACACUCUAGUUGCAUGUUUCAGGUGGAGAACAAGUCCAGUGGAGUUCUGGACUUGAGGACAUUUCUAGUAUUGCCCCAUUGAAAAAGUCACCCCUCUCGACAGAUACACACACACACACACACAUUCCUCUAGAGUUGAUGGCUGAAAAAAGCUUCCCUUAGUAUCUGAUACCCAGUCAUAUUCUGGGGUCUUGGGCUGUGUUGCAACCCACCAAAGCUGUGGUGAUAUGGGCCCCUUAGAGGUGCCAGCCAAGAUCUUUCCAAUUGUACACAUAUGUAGGGACACUAGCAUUCCUUAGGGGGUAGAGGGGCACCAGCAAUUGUCACAGUGUUUCUGGGAAAACAUUGCUGGAAGAUUAUCUCAGUAUGGGAUGCCAUAAGAAAAUGCCAUAAGCUGGAUGGCUUAAACAAUGGAAAUUUACUUUCUCACAGUUCUGGAGGCUGGAAGUCCUAGAUCAGGAUGCUGGCAAAGUAAGUUUCAUCCUGAGGCUUCUUUUCUUGGCUUAUAGAUGGCCUCCAUCUUGCUGUAUGUCCACACGAUCUUUUCUUGCAUGUGCUAGACAGAGGGAGAGAGAGAGUGGGAGAGAGAGCAAGAGAGCAUCUAAUGGUGUUUCUUCUUUUAAGGAUACUAAUCCUGUUGGAUCAGGGCCCUAACCUAUUUCAAAAUAUGGUUAUGUCGGGGUUAGGGCUUCAACAUAUGAAUUUUGGUGGGGCGGCACAUAAAUAUUCAGUCCAUUACACAGAUGCACUGGAAACCUUCAUUGAGGAGAUGUAAAGAAAAUGUAGAACAGACUAUCCAGAAGAACUUGGAGGCAGUUGGUGUUCUUUCUCAGAGCCUAGGCUUAGGCA
RNAcentral lists this long non-coding RNA (4147 nucleotides) under Canis lupus familiaris (dog). Its description in RNAcentral is "lncRNA (ENSCAFG00000057336.1)". Lineage: Eukaryota; Metazoa; Chordata; Mammalia; Carnivora; Canidae. The record is from RNAcentral.